Molecule: ribosomal RNA, 253 nt
Filed under: uncultured bacterium
Lineage: Bacteria
Description: partial 16S ribosomal RNA
Rfam family: Bacterial small subunit ribosomal RNA
Source: RNAcentral
GACAGAGGGUGCAAACGUUGUUCGGAAUUACUGGGCGUAAAGCGUGUGUAGGCGGCUUCGCAAGUUGGAUGUGAAAUCCCACGGCUCAACCGUGGACGUGCAUCCAAAACUGCGUCGCUAGAGUCUCGGAGAGGAAGGUGGAAUGCUUGGUGUAGAGGUGAAAUUCGUAGAUAUCAAGCAGAACACCUGCGGCGAAGGCGGCCUUCUGGACGAUGACUGACGCUGAGACACGAAAGCGUGGGGAGCAAACAGG